ACUUUUUACUUGUUCCUUUUUGUUAAUCAUAUAUUUUAAGUGUCCUUUCAUUUUUUGAGCUAUUUUUUGAUGGUACAAUUGUUCUUGAUAAUCUAGAACACUGUAUUGAAUGGAUAUCACUUGAUAUUUUAAUUCAAAGUGUUUUGUGAAUUUUGAUUGUUCUUUAUUUCAGCUUCAGGAUAUGAUUGGGCAACCCAAAGUAUGUGACUCUCACAUGGCCUUCAUCUCACAUUUCUACACAAUUCACUUUUUAAAAUGUUAUAAUAUAUAAAAUAUUUAAAACAUUCACUCCACGACGGUUCCAGAUGAGUUAUUUCUCUCUAUAUUUCAGAUCCACGGUGGCCCAGGAUGAGACCCAGUAAGUAUAUGUUGAUCAACAUACUUCAUACAGACUCUUCAUAUAGUCAGUAUGGCCAAACAUUUGUGAGAUCUUUCAGCAAAUUACAGCAGGGUUUUGUCCAUGUCUCUCCAUAUCCAAGAAUACACCUCUAACACUUAUUUUACAAACAACAUUGCUGAAAUCUAUUGACCAUAAUCUAUUAUACUUAUAUUACAUAGUAUACAAAGGGAUUUUAAUCCAAAGCGUUUUCUGAAUUUUGACUAUUCUUUAUCUCAACUCCCAAACUACACUGUUAACACCUAAAGUAUAUUACUCUUUUACAUUACUUGAAUCUCACAUUUGCAUGGCAUUCACUGUUUCAUUUAAAAAUAUUCAGUGCAGAACUGAAAUGAAAUAACAUCUCUCUGUGUCUCAGCUUCUUCAUACUGGCGCAGGAUGAGACCCAGUAGGUUGAAAGUCAUCAACAUACUUUUCACAUACACCUGCAAUCGCCGGCUAUGUAACUUUGUAACUUUAGAUUUCUAAUCCAAUUUUUGGACCAUAUGUAAGAUCCUGUUAAUGCCACUCCAUUUUCUAAAAUACACUGUUAACCACAAAAUUAAAAACAGGAAAAUGCACAGCCCAAUUCAUAACAAUGCUAUGGUCUAUGCCAAUCUUGGAAUAGAAAGUAAAUAAACCUAUGGUUUAUUGCUCAAUAUUGAUUGUUCAACUACUGUUAACUAAAGUACAAGCAUAAGACACCAUUCGUGCAUUUAUUAGUAGAUCGAGUAUUAAGCACCAUCAAGGUCCUCUGUGAAGUCUGAAGUUCUAUACGCAGAGCUUGACUUAAUGAACGUACUCUCUCCAGGUCUAUAAUGUUCAGACUUAUCAUGCAAAAAAUAUGUCUGAAAUGUAUUUCUGAAAUUCUAUUACACUUGUAGGACCACUUUUUACUUGUUCCUUUUUGUUAUUCAUAUAUUUUAAGUGUCUUUUCAUUUUUUGAGCUAUUUUUUGAUGGUACAAUUGUUCUUGAUAAUCUAGAACACUGUAUUGAAUGGAUAUCACUUGAUAUUUUAAUUCAAAGUGUUUUGUGAAUUUUGAUUGUUCUUUAUUUCAGCUUCAGGAUAUGAUUGGGCAACCCAAAAUCCAUGGUGGCCCAGGAUGAGACCCAAUCUCCCAAACCCACUGAUUAGAGUGUACAGAUUGGUGAGCAACUAUGAGGACGCCGUCAUAGUUUCCUGUCAAUGUCACGUUCCCGUUCAUGGAAGCCAACUGCAGCUGAAGGUGGUGGUGGAAGAGCAAAGCUUCACAAUGAACUACCCCGACUUCAGCAGAGGAACAGAACACCUCUUCAAGAUCACGGUGUCUUCACCCGCUUCCUUCUCAUGUGUUCAGAAACUAGACGGCAAGACUCUCCUUAGCGAUGUGUUCAUCUUCAGUAAGCAUAUUGAGAGUCAUGGUUUCCCUGGACCAGAAGUGUCUCUGUCCUACCAGGCAUUCGCAGGAACUCUGGGCUGUCUGCUUAUCCUCAUGAUUUCUGGGAUGGUGGUGAUGAUGAUGAUGACUCUGUUGAAAAUACAGAAAGUGAAACAACGGACCUUCAAGAGAUUCCCUGUCUCAGAAGACACCAAGACUGUUUGACUCUUUAAACAUAGUCUUUUUUCAGUCACAGCGACAUAUAGUUUAUAACUGCUUAGAUAUUUGAUCUUUAAAUUCAUGUUUUUAAGUGGCAUAGGACAUAACGGUAUAAUGACCUAUUAUCCAAGACUAGUAUAUGAGCCAGGAUUAGAUCCAAACAGUUAGUCACAGUGCAGGUGCAUGUCUCAUGCUAGUAGGCUUUGAUAUUUUUGUAUGCAGCUAUGCUAUAGCAUCAAUGAGUAAAUGGCUUAAUUUCUUUCAUUUUGGACUAAUAAGUAUGCAUAUAUGUAAUAUUAGUCUUUUCUUCAGUCAAGACAGAAUAUAUGUACAUGCAGCAUGCAUGCUUACAUGCUUAUGUUUAUUUAGUAGAGUUUAAAAUACUUAAAUGGCUGAUAAAUCAUUACAUGAUUUGGAUUUGGCUUGAUAUAAUUCAGGUGUGUCUCCCAAUAAUAACAAUAUAAGUUCCAUCUUUUAAAUGUCUUGUGUUGAUUAAUUCCAGCUUGUCAAAUAAAUACUUAGAUAUAUUCUUCAUUA
Molecule: long non-coding RNA, 2491 nt
Organism: Clupea harengus (Atlantic herring)
Lineage: Eukaryota; Metazoa; Chordata; Actinopteri; Clupeiformes; Clupeidae
Source: Ensembl